UUGCUUUGGCAGCACAUUUGCCAAAAUUGGAAUGAUGUGCAGGUUUGUUUGUCCUCUGUGCAAGGAUGACACAAAUUAAUGAAGUGUUCCACACUUUA
RNAcentral lists this small nuclear RNA (98 nucleotides) under Castor canadensis (American beaver). Lineage: Eukaryota; Metazoa; Chordata; Mammalia; Rodentia; Castoridae. The record is from RNAcentral.